UGAAGUCGGAAUCGCUAGUAAUCGUGAAUCAGAAUGUCACGGUGAAUACGUUCCCGGGCCUUGUACACACCGCCCGUCACACCAUGGGAGUGGGUUGCACCAGAAGUAGAUAGCUUAACCUUCGGGAGGGCGUUUACCACGGUGUGGUCCAUGACUGGGGUGAAGUCGUAACAAGGUAACCGUAGGGGAACCUGCGGUUGGAUCACCUCCUUACGAAGA
This 219-nucleotide ribosomal RNA is filed under the name Gilliamella sp. wkB178. RNAcentral describes it as "partial 16S ribosomal RNA". It matches the Rfam family "Bacterial small subunit ribosomal RNA", at positions 1321 to 1533 of the family's 1533-position model. Lineage: Bacteria; Pseudomonadati; Pseudomonadota; Gammaproteobacteria; Orbales; Orbaceae. The record is from RNAcentral.